ACUAGAGGCACUUGAGGGGUACAACCAAAAUCAACAUGUGCCAAUUUUACUUGGCUAGAAAUUAUUCUUUUAGUAAUAAUGAUCAAACAGUUUCUAUUCCUCUGAUGUAGAAAUGUAUAUUGCCAAAUACAUAGGUAGUCCCCUAAACUUGUCCUGUUAUUUUAAUUAAAUAUUUAAAUUAAAAUUAGUAUUUAUUGAACACCUAAACUUUAUUAGAAUUAUCAAUUAGGCACAUUUAGUUAACAUGGCAAAGUAAGUGUUUUUCAUUCUCUUUGACCGUGUACAUAUUUGAAAAAUAAUUAACAUUUUAUUUUUUGUCUUUCUUUUUCUCUUCUUUCUUUAGUUUUCAUAAAGUCGUUGCCACCUUGCCGGAAAUUUAUUGACCUACGGCAAGUUCCAUUGAUGGCUUCAAUCUACACAAGGAUACUCCCAAAAACCUCAAAUUUAUUUCUCCAAUCUCCACCAUAGUUGUUUAUGGGGGGUGAAAGUAUCAAGAUUACAGCAUAAACAAUCUUAUCAUUACUUUGUUAUAGCGACCAUAUAUUGUACCCUUCACUCACGUCAUAUUCAAGUAACUACUCAGUGUAACGAUCCGACCGAUUGUUUUCAGAGUUGUAGCCCCAUUCCCCCAUUUUCUAUUCAUUUCCUUCUUAAUUAUUGUUAUGUGAUUUGCCGGGGUAGUUGGUUCGAGUCCUGAAAGGUUUCAGAAUGAAUUGAGACACUUAGUCUCAAGGUUGGAAGUUUAAGUUAAAAAGGUUGACCGGAUGUUGACUAAUGUGUAAAUGACUCCAGAAUAAAGUUUUGAUGGUUCAGUUAGCUCCGUUGGAUGAUUUUUGAUUUAGGAGUGUGUCCGACAUAGAUCAGGAUACGAUUGGAAUUUGAAUUUUCUAAUUCACUCCUAGAGUAUUUGAGUACGAUAAUUUCAUAGCGCAAAUAUUAUGGAAUCUAUACCCUCAAUUGUCGGGAAACAAGCCCUCAACUUUGAUUUAUAGUAUAUAUACCUAGCAGAAUAUUACUAGUGGCACGUGAGGGAUACAACCAAAAUCAACAUGUGCCAAUUUUACUUGGCUAGAAAUUAUUCUUUUAGUAAUAAUGAUCAAACAGUCUCUAUUCCUUUGAUGUAGAAAUGUAUAUUGCCAAAUACAUAGGUAGUCCCCUAAACUUGUCCUGUUAUUUUAGUUAAAUAUUUAAAUUUAAAUUAGUAUUUAUUGAACACCUAAACUUUAUUAAAAUUAUCAAUUUAGCACAUUUAGUUAACAUGGCAGAGUAAGUGUUUUUCAUUCUCUUUGACCGUGUACAUAUUUGAAAAAUAAUUAACAUUUUAUUUUUUGUCUUUCUUUUUCUCUUCUUUCUUUAGUUUUCAUAAAGUCGUUGCCACCUUGCCGGAAAUUUGUUGACCUACGGCAAGUUCCAUUA
This 1416-nucleotide long non-coding RNA is filed under the name Nicotiana tabacum (common tobacco). Its description in RNAcentral is "long non-coding RNA (NTAB_LNC000689)". The record is from RNAcentral. Lineage: Eukaryota; Viridiplantae; Streptophyta; Magnoliopsida; Solanales; Solanaceae.